This 425-nucleotide ribosomal RNA is filed under the name uncultured bacterium. RNAcentral describes it as "partial 16S ribosomal RNA". It matches the Rfam family "Bacterial small subunit ribosomal RNA", at positions 354 to 796 of the family's 1533-position model. The record is from RNAcentral.
GUUGGGAAUCUUGGACAAUGGGGGAAACCCUGAUCCAGCCAUGCCGCGUGAGUGAUGAAGGCCUUCGGGUUGUAAAACUCUUUCGACGGGGACGAUAAUGACGGUACCCGUAGAAGAAGCUCCGGCUAACUUCGUGCCAGCAGCCGCGGUAAUACGAAGGGGGCUAGCGUUGUUCGGAAUUACUGGGCGUAAAGCGCGCGCAGGCGGCUAUCCAAGUCAGUGGUGAAAGCCCGGAGCUCAACUCCGGAACUGCCAUUGAAACUGUUUAGCUUGAGGACGAGAGAGGUGAGUGGAAUUCCCAGUGUAGAGGUGAAAUUCGUAGAUAUUGGGAAGAACACCGGUGGCGAAGGCGGCUCACUGGCUCGUAUCUGACGCUCAGGCGCGAUAGCGUGGGGAUCAAACAGGAUUAGAAACCCCUGUAGUCC